UCGAGCGCGGGAAGCAAGCGGAUCCCCUUCGGGGGUGAAGCUUGUGGAACGAGCGGCGGACGGGUGAGUAACACGUGGGCAACCUGCCUGUAAGACCGGAAUAACCCCGGGAAACCGGGGCUAAUGCCGGGUAACACCUACCUUCGCAUGAAGGAAGGUUAAAAGAUGGCUUCUUGCUAUCACUUACAGAUGGGCCCGCGGCGCAUUACCUAGUUGGUGAGGUAA
This 225-nucleotide ribosomal RNA is filed under the name Halobacillus sp. JC182. RNAcentral's name for it is "partial 16S ribosomal RNA". It matches the Rfam family "Bacterial small subunit ribosomal RNA", at positions 57 to 260 of the family's 1533-position model. The record is from RNAcentral. Lineage: Bacteria; Bacillati; Bacillota; Bacilli; Caryophanales; Bacillaceae.